GAGUUUGAUCCUGGCUCAGGAUGAACGCUGGCGGCGUGCUUAACACAUGCAAGUCGAACGAUGAAGAGAGCUUGCUCUUGGAUUAGUGGCGAACGGGUGAGUAACACGUGAGUAACCUGCCCUUAACUCUGGGAUAAGCCUGGGAAACUGGGUCUAAUACCGGAUAUGACCUGUUGCCGCAUGGUGGCGGGUGGAAAGAUUUUUUGGUUUUGGAUGGACUCGCGGCCUAUCAGCUUGUUGGUGAGGUAAUGGCUCACCAAGGCGACGACGGGUAGCCGGCCUGAGAGGGUGACCGGCCACACUGGGACUGAGACACGGCCCAGACUCCUACGGGAGGCAGCAGUGGGGAAUCUUGCGCAAUGGGCGAAAGCCUGACGCAGCAACGCCGCGUGCGGGAAGAAGGCCUUCGGGUUGUAAACCGCUUUCAGCGGGGAAGAAGGCGAGCGGGUUAAUAGCCCGUCAGCUGACGGUACCCGCAGAAGAAGGUCCGGCUAACUACGUGCCAGCAGCCGCGGUA
This 517-nucleotide ribosomal RNA is filed under the name uncultured bacterium. RNAcentral describes it as "bacterial SSU rRNA". It matches the Rfam family "Bacterial small subunit ribosomal RNA", at positions 9 to 522 of the family's 1533-position model. The record is from RNAcentral.